AGCGUAGACGGCGAGGCAAGUCUGAUGUGAAAGCCCGGGGCUCAACCCCGAGACUGCAUUGGAAACUGUCGGACUAGAGUGUCGGAGGGGUAAGUGGAAUUCCUAGUGUAGCGGUGAAAUGCGUAGAUAUUAGGAGGAACACCAGUGGCGAAGGCGGCUUACUGGACGAUAACUGACGCUGAGGCUCGAAAGCGUGGGGAGCAAACA
RNAcentral lists this ribosomal RNA (207 nucleotides) under uncultured bacterium. RNAcentral's name for it is "partial 16S ribosomal RNA". It matches the Rfam family "Bacterial small subunit ribosomal RNA", at positions 568 to 774 of the family's 1533-position model. The record is from RNAcentral.